RNAcentral lists this ribosomal RNA (505 nucleotides) under uncultured bacterium. RNAcentral describes it as "bacterial SSU rRNA". It matches the Rfam family "Bacterial small subunit ribosomal RNA", at positions 15 to 507 of the family's 1533-position model. The record is from RNAcentral.
GAUCCUGGCUCAGGAUGAACGCUAGCUACAGGCUUAACACAUGCAAGUCGAGGGGAAACGAUAUUGGAAGCUUGCUUCCGAUAGGCGUCGACCGGCGCACGGGUGAGUAACGCGUAUCCAACCUGCCCACCACUUGGGGAUAACCUUGCGAAAGUAAGACUAAUACCCAAUGACGUCUCUAGAAGACAUCUGAAAGAGAUUAAAGAUUUAUCGGUGAUGGAUGGGGAUGCGUCUGAUUAGCUUGUUGGCGGGGUAACGGCCCACCAAGGCAACGAUCAGUAGGGGUUCUGAGAGGAAGGUCCCCCACAUUGGAACUGAGACACGGUCCAAACUCCUACGGGAGGCAGCAGUGAGGAAUAUUGGUCAAUGGACGAGAGUCUGAACCAGCCAAGUAGCGUGCAGGAUGACGGCCCUAUGGGUUGUAAACUGCUUUUAUAAGGGAAUAAAGUGAGUCUCGUGAGACUUUUUGCAUGUACCUUAUGAAUAAGGACCGGCUAAUUCCGUG